GACGAACGCUGGCGGCGUGCUUAACACAUGCAAGUCGAACGGAAAGGCCUCUUUCGGGGGGUACUCGAGUGGCGAACGGGUGAGUAACACGUGAGUAACCUGCCCUCGACUUUGGGAUAACUUCAGGAAACUGGGGCUAAUACCGCAUAGGAGCUCCUGCUGCAUGGUGGGGGUUGGAAAGUUUCGGCGGUUGGGGAUGGACUCGCGGCUUAUCAGCUUGUUGGUGGGGUAGUGGCUUACCAAGGCUUUGACGGGUAGCCGGCCUGAGAGUGUGACCGGCCACAUUGGGGCUGGAGUACGACCCAGGCUCCUAAGGGAGGCAGCAGUGGGGAAUAUUGCACAAUGGGUGGAAGCCUGAUGCAGCAACGCCGUGUGCGGGAUGACGGCCUUCGGGUUGUAAACCGCUUUCGCUCAUGACGAAGCUUUGUGUGACGGUAGUAGGUAAAGAAGCACCGGCUAACUACGUG
Molecule: ribosomal RNA, 467 nt
Filed under: uncultured bacterium
Lineage: Bacteria
Description: partial 16S ribosomal RNA
Rfam family: Bacterial small subunit ribosomal RNA
Source: RNAcentral